This is a long non-coding RNA of Tribolium madens (black flour beetle), 692 nucleotides long. RefSeq lists it as uncharacterized. NCBI's taxonomy places the organism in Eukaryota, Metazoa, Arthropoda, Insecta, Coleoptera, Tenebrionidae. The transcript has 2 exons. The record is from RefSeq and is a predicted model, not a curated record.
UAUAGGUAUCAAGUAUAUCAUCAAUAUGAUCAUCAUUCAAUGGCUGUCAUUUCUUCGGGUUACUUAUGUUAAAUAAAUUUUUAUAAUAUUGUGUUUUAAACUGUCUAUUACAAGAAUUGUUUAAUAUUGGUUAGUCUUGGUGUUUUGUUUUCGUACUUGGUUUUUGUUACAUAAUAAGCAAGUACAAUCUAAAAGAUCACCUAAGAUAUCAGUACUUUUUCUCAGCAUGGCGAUUGUGCCUUGCCCAAAAACAUGGGAGCUACCGCUUGCAACAGGAUGCUUUCCAAACGUAGAGGAGAUGCAUCACCAAGCUCAAGUGCUUUUUUUCCCCACUUAUUGCCUGGAAUAAGUAUAAGACACGUUAAACCAAUAUAUCGAAAGGAACACCCAUGUUGCGCAUGGGAAAUUAGCUGCUACUACCAAGGCCCUGUGAACAAUGGAUUAGCAAACCAUAUAUAUCAGAUAGUUCAAAGUAAUAAAUAUAUGAAUGUUACAAUUGGAGAUAUAAACAUUAACAGUUACAAUAACUUUUCUGUGAUAUAUAAUGUUAACUGUGAAUGUAAUGCUGCGGAUUUUUAAUUUGAUGUGACGAUAUCAUUAUUUAUGAUGAUGAAUUAUAAACUGACUGUACUGUUGAUUGUAACCUAAGUGAUAAAUAAUAGUAAUUAAAUAUUUUUUCUAUWUAAUAUCAA